AGCUUUGCACAGUGGCAGUAUCAUAGCCAGUGAGGUUUAUCCGAGGCGCGAUUAUUGCUAAUUCAAAUACUACCCAGCUUAGACUGUUGGUAAAGCCCUGUGCAUGCUUGUAUCAAAAAAGAAUGCCCCGCACAAGAGCUGAGCCUUUUUAGGA
Molecule: small nuclear RNA, 154 nt
Filed under: Zalophus californianus (California sea lion)
Lineage: Eukaryota; Metazoa; Chordata; Mammalia; Carnivora; Otariidae
Description: U4 spliceosomal RNA (ENSZCAG00015018872.1)
Rfam family: U4 spliceosomal RNA (bases 1-76)
Source: RNAcentral